RNAcentral lists this ribosomal RNA (327 nucleotides) under uncultured eukaryote. RNAcentral's name for it is "partial 18S ribosomal RNA". It matches the Rfam family "Eukaryotic small subunit ribosomal RNA", at positions 1470 to 1796 of the family's 1831-position model. The record is from RNAcentral.
CCCUUAGACGUUCUGGGCCGCACGCGCGCUACACUGAUUCAUGCAACAAGUUUUGUCCUUGGCUGAUAGGCCUGGGUAAUCUUUGAACGUGAAUCGUGAUGGGGAUAGAUGAUUGCAAUUAUUCAUCUUCAACGAGGAAUUCCUAGUAAACGCAAGUCAUCAGCUUGCAUUGAUUACGUCCCUGCCCUUUGUACACACCGCCCGUCGCACCUACCGAUUGAAUGGUCCGGUGAAAUCUUCGGAUCUGAGAGAUGUCUGAUUAAUUUCGGACGCCUUUUGGAAAAGUUGUUUAAACCUUACCAUUUAGAGGAAGGUGAAGUCGUAACA